CGGUGGCCGAGUGGUUAAGGCGUUGGA
Molecule: non-coding RNA, 27 nt
Filed under: Cricetulus griseus (Chinese hamster)
Lineage: Eukaryota; Metazoa; Chordata; Mammalia; Rodentia; Cricetidae
Also listed under: 1 other name
Source: RNAcentral